RNAcentral lists this ribosomal RNA (229 nucleotides) under uncultured bacterium. RNAcentral's name for it is "partial 16S ribosomal RNA". It matches the Rfam family "Bacterial small subunit ribosomal RNA", at positions 568 to 796 of the family's 1533-position model. The record is from RNAcentral.
UGCGCAGGCGGAACUUUAAGUCAGUGGUGAAAUCUUGCCGCUUAACGGUAAAAUUGCCAUUGAUACUGAAGUUCUUGAAUAUGGUUGAGGUAGGCGGAACGUGUUGUGUAGCGGUGAAAUGCAUAGAUAUGACACAGAACUCCGAUUGCGAAGGCAGCUUACUAAACCAUUAUUGACGCUGAGGCACGAAAGCGUGGGGAGCGAACAGGAUUAGAUACCCUGGUAGUCC